UACUAUAUGUUUUCUUUUCUAUAGAAAAGAAAAAAAAAUGAUGCGGAGCCAAAAAUGGUACCAUUGACAGUUCUAGUGUUAAGGUAUAAUAUGAAAGAAUCACUUAAUAAUGUUUAUAUACUUAAUGUAAAAGUGAUGAAAAUUAAUCCAAGACACGAACGACCCAUCGUAUGUAUAAUAGAGGAUUAGAAUAUUACCGCGUACACUGAGGCUUAAUUCCAUCAUCACGCAAAUUGCAUUAUUGCAUUUAUCCUAAUUUCAUAAGCAAUUGAAAAAAAUCUUUGUUGGAAAAAAGCGUAAAUGUUUCGAGUGCAGAAAAAUUAACGCUUGGUGUACACGCAGUCGCGUUACAAUACGCUAUUUCCACGCUAAUGACUGCCAUCCGCGUUUGCUACCAAAAUAGCACAUUAUUAGGGCACUCUGCAUACGGCUUAAAAUCCCAUAGUAUAUUUAAAGAUGAGUUACCUAGUAGAUAUUCGUUGUUUUAAAAUCGUUCGCGAACGCAUUCGGAAAAUGUCAAGACUCGAUUUCGCGCAAAAGAGGUGGAGAACCAAGAAUAGCGCUCUACUUGUCUGAGGUUUUGUCCGCGUUUCUCCUUUUAAUCAAGAAUGAUCAUUAGCGGCCCGGCGGUGAACAAAGGCGAAUUGCAUCGUGAGGAAGAAAAAAGACGAUAAAACUUAACUUUGACCCUUCCUUUGGCGAUGCGUUUAACUAUGCCGCUUCCUCUUAGAACGAUACAUAUUACCGGUCACCCUAUCAGUCAUUAACUUUGUUAACCGCCGUACCACGAAUAAUCAAACUAACCGUCGGGCGCAGAGAAACUUCCUACGGGACGAUAAACGACGAUAAAUAACGAGCGUGUCGCGAAAAUCGAUUUUCCAACGAAGACAGGAAGUUUUUGCGAUACCGUACUUCGAGUAGACGCCAAGCGCACGGAGCUCCGACGUUCCGCGCAAAACGGCAAUUUCCAUUCUGGACUUAAAUUAUCAUUCGCCCCACACGCGACUUUGGCGCGACAUUAAUAUUUAACGUGUUCGAAACACGCUAUGGCAAGAAGUCUCUAAUAGGGAGUCUCUCUCUCUCUCUUUCUCUCUCUCUCUCGCUCUCGCUCUCGCUCUCGCAAAUAUACAGUGAACGCAGUUGAUGCUUUUCGUACUCUCAUCUUAGAUUUAUAUCAUUGUUCAUCUUGAUGCGAUACUAACGUUUUGUAUGCUCAGAGAGAAUGUUGCUAUCGCCAAAGUAUUCUAUCAUUAGGGCAUUUAAAUACGAGAGAGGGUAUUUAAAUUCGAGAACGCGAUCCAUCACGUCACGUUACCGCGGUCGCUCUGUGCUCGCCGGGAACGGCGAAUACGUUGCCUCAGGGAGAAAGAGUACGUGUGUUCAAUAGCGAAAAAAAAAAACGGAGAAUAUAUAUAAAGAAA
Trachymyrmex septentrionalis is the source of this 1421-nucleotide long non-coding RNA. RefSeq lists it as uncharacterized. The transcript has 2 exons. NCBI's taxonomy places the organism in Eukaryota, Metazoa, Arthropoda, Insecta, Hymenoptera, Formicidae. The record is from RefSeq and is a predicted model, not a curated record.